CAGUAGCCGCGGUAAUACGAAGGGGGCUAGCGUUGCUCGGAAUUACUGGGCGUAAAGGGAGCGUAGGCGGAUAGUUAAGUUGGGGGUGAAAGCCCGGGGCUCAACCUCGGAAUUGCCUUCAAUACUGGCUAUCUAGAGUAUGGGAGAGGUAUGUGGAACUCCGAGUGUAGAGGUGAAAUCCGUAGAUAUUCGGAAGAACACCAGUGGCGAAUGCGACAUACUGGCCCAUUACUGACGCUGAGUCUCGAAAGCGUGGGGAGCAAACAGGAUUAGAUACCCCGGUAGUCCCUGUCUCUUAUAC
This 301-nucleotide ribosomal RNA is filed under the name uncultured bacterium. RNAcentral's name for it is "partial 16S ribosomal RNA". It matches the Rfam family "Bacterial small subunit ribosomal RNA", at positions 509 to 807 of the family's 1533-position model. The record is from RNAcentral.